RNAcentral lists this non-coding RNA (162 nucleotides) under Schistosoma margrebowiei. Its description in RNAcentral is "Eukaryotic small subunit ribosomal RNA". It matches the Rfam family "Eukaryotic small subunit ribosomal RNA", at positions 1669 to 1823 of the family's 1831-position model. Lineage: Eukaryota; Metazoa; Platyhelminthes; Trematoda; Strigeidida; Schistosomatidae. The record is from Rfam by way of RNAcentral.
CUACUAGUAUCGCUACUACCGAUUGAAUGAUUUAGUGGGGUCGUUGGAUUGGUGUCGUUGUAGUGGCGUUGCCGCUCGACUGGUGCUGAGAAGAUGACCUAAUUUGACCAUUUAGAGGAAGUAAAAGUCGUAAUAAGGUUUCCGUAGGUGAACCUGUGGAAG